UCAACAAAUACCAAAUCUGUCUCGUAAUCGUAGUGCGUAGUACGCGAGCAAAAGCUAACGCGAAUAAUUGAAAGCGGAAAAGCAAAGCAAAGCUAAGCUGAAACGUGCAUUGCAUAUUACGAAAUUGCAGCUGCCAGUUGAACAGCCUGCCUGCCUGCGUUUUAAGAGAAAAAAUUUAAAUCCAAGGAAAAGACUAUAUGUACACAUAAUAUGUGCAUAUAUAUAGAAAUAGUUAGCUAAAUUGAAGACAACCCGAAUGCAAGCAGCAUCAGCAGCAGCGGCAGCAACAGCAGCAGCAACAAAAACAGCAUAGGCAAGAACCAAGAAAAA
Molecule: small RNA, 330 nt
Filed under: Drosophila virilis
Lineage: Eukaryota; Metazoa; Arthropoda; Insecta; Diptera; Drosophilidae
Description: GJ26694
Source: RNAcentral